This 469-nucleotide ribosomal RNA is filed under the name uncultured bacterium. Its description in RNAcentral is "partial 16S ribosomal RNA". It matches the Rfam family "Bacterial small subunit ribosomal RNA", at positions 28 to 507 of the family's 1533-position model. The record is from RNAcentral.
GACGAACGCUGGCGGCGUGCUUAACACAUGCAAGUCGAACGGAAAGGCCCUGCUUGCAGGGUGCGCGUGUGGCGAACGGGGGAGUAACACGUGGGUGAUCUGCGCCUGACAUUGGGAGAAGCCUAGUAAACUGGGUCUAUUACAGGAUAUGACAAUGCUUAAGGUGGGGUGGUGGAAAGAUUAGGGUCGGUGUGGGAUGAGCUCGCGGCCGAUCCGCGUGUUGGUGGGGUAGUGGCCUAGCAGGGCGUCGAGGGGUAGCCGGCCAGCGGGGGUGGACGGCCGCCUUGGGCCUCUGCUGCAGGCCAGAGUCGUGCGUCAGGGGGCAUUGGGGAAUGUUGCACAAUGGGCCCACGCCUGAUGCAGCGACGCUGCGUGGGCGUUGACCGCCUUCGUGUUGUAAGCUCCUGUCAGCCAGGACGAAGCCCUUGUGGUGACGGUAGUGUUAGAGGAAGCACCGGCUAACUACGUG